UUAGAUAAACAGGAGAAAGAAUGGGGCCGUAGCUUCCAGAGAGAGGAGCUCUGCACCGGCGGGGUGCGAGGAAGGCAGGCGAGGGAGGCGGAGGGAGCCCAUACUCCCACCUCGGCGCCUCUCCUCCCGCAGCAAACGCUCAGCCCCCGCCCUCUCUCUCCGUUCCGGACCCUCCACCCGGCUGGCGAGAGGGCAGCGCGGGAGAGGCGGUGGCAGGGCUCUGACUGUCACGUUCGUUCCCUGCUGCUUUUCCCGUCCCCAGCCUCCUCGCCCCUCCUCCCUCAUCCUCAGCCGGGGUUUGGAGGCGAUUCCCCUCUAGUGACUGAGACGAUCGCAUCUGGGCGAGCGGCGCUUCGCCUCCCUCGCGUCUUUGUCUCCUCCUCCUGCAAGGCUCCGGGGCCGGGCGCAGGGUCUGCAGCAGCCGCCGCAGAAGCGGGAGCCAAGCGGUGCUCCGCACGGCCGCCCGGAGCCGCACCCUCGCUCGGUGGAGGCGCCGGAGGACGCCGGCCAGCCACGCACAGCCGGCGUCCCGCGCUCCUGCCGCCGCGCACUAACGCCGCCGCCGCCGCGGCGGGGAACGAGCCCUCCCGGCCGGCCGGGUCCGGGGUGGGCAGCCCGGCUGGCAGCGGGGUGGGAAGAGCGGGCGCUGCAGCUCUGGCAGCUCACACCCCCAGGCAUACGCAUCCAACGCCUCUUCCCUGCGCCACGAGGAUGGAGCAGCCACCCCGGCCCGGGACUGGCGCAAGGUACCCAAGCAAGGACAGGAAUAAUGAAGAGACACAUGUGUUAGCUGCAACCUUUUGAAAUAAGCAAGAAGGAAAUCAGCAGUGUGGACAAGGCUGGAACCGUUGCCACGCUUGCUUGUCGGAGUGAAUGAGGAAUGGGCUUGU
This 890-nucleotide long non-coding RNA is filed under the name Felis catus (domestic cat). RNAcentral's name for it is "lncRNA (ENSFCAG00000042717.2)". Lineage: Eukaryota; Metazoa; Chordata; Mammalia; Carnivora; Felidae. The record is from RNAcentral.